RNAcentral lists this ribosomal RNA (414 nucleotides) under uncultured bacterium. RNAcentral's name for it is "partial 16S ribosomal RNA". It matches the Rfam family "Bacterial small subunit ribosomal RNA", at positions 360 to 774 of the family's 1533-position model. The record is from RNAcentral.
AAUAUUGCACAAUGAGCGAAAGCUUGAUGCAGCGACGCCGCGUGAGGGAUGACGGCUUUCGGGUUGUAAACCUCUUUCGGCAGGGAACAAGUCCAGGUUUUGGCCUGGUUGUGGGUACCUGCAUAAGAAGCGCCGGCUAACUACGUUCCAGCAGUCGCGGUAAGACGUAGGGCGCGAUCGUUGUCCGGAAUUAUUUGGCGUAAAGAGCUCGUGGGGGGCUUGUCGCGACUGCUGUGAAAACGCGGGGCUUAACUCCGCGCUUGCGGUGGGUACGGGCAGGCUUGAGUGUAGGAGGGAAGACUGGAAUUCCUGGUGUAGCGGUGGAAUGCGCAGAUAUCAGGAGGAACACCGAUGGCGAAGGCAGGUCUCUGGGCUAUAACUGACGCUGAGGAGCGAAAGCAUGGGGAGCGAACA